Molecule: ribosomal RNA, 186 nt
Filed under: uncultured Chlorobiota bacterium
Lineage: Bacteria; Pseudomonadati; Chlorobiota
Description: uncultured Chlorobi bacterium partial 16S ribosomal RNA
Rfam family: Bacterial small subunit ribosomal RNA
Source: RNAcentral
CCUACGGGAGGCAGCAGUGAGGAAUAUUGCGCAAUGGACGAAAGUCUGACGCAGCAACGCCGCGUGCAGGAUGACGGCCCUCUGGGUUGUAAACUGCUGUAGCAGGGGAAUAAUAGCCGCUUAUGGCGGUUUGAAGGUACCCUGAAAGUAAGCUCCGGCUAACUACGUGCCAGCAGCCGCGGUAAU